RNAcentral lists this transfer RNA (84 nucleotides) under Candidatus Planktophila sp. RNAcentral's name for it is "tRNA-Leu". It matches the Rfam family "tRNA". Rfam says of the family: Transfer RNA (tRNA) molecules are approximately 80 nucleotides in length. Their secondary structure includes four short double-helical elements and three loops (D, anti-codon, and T loops). Further hydrogen bonds mediate the characteristic L-shaped molecular structure. tRNAs have two regions of fundamental functional importance: the anti-codon, which is responsible for specific mRNA codon recognition, and the 3' end, to which the tRNAs corresponding amino acid is attached (by aminoacyl-tRNA synthetases). tRNAs cope with the degeneracy of the genetic code in two manners: having more than one tRNA (with a specific anti-codon) for a particular amino acid; and 'wobble' base-pairing, i.e. permitting non-standard base-pairing at the 3rd anti-codon position. The record is from RNAcentral. RNAcentral also lists the same sequence under 1 other name. Lineage: Bacteria; Bacillati; Actinomycetota; Actinomycetes; Candidatus Nanopelagicales; Candidatus Nanopelagicaceae.
GUCCGGGUGGCGGAAUUGGCAGACGCGCUAGCUUGAGGUGCUAGUGCCCGCAAGGGCUUAGGGGUUCAACUCCCCUUUCGGACA